RNAcentral lists this long non-coding RNA (546 nucleotides) under Oryza sativa Indica Group (long-grained rice). RNAcentral's name for it is "lncRNA OsIR64_05g0007890". Lineage: Eukaryota; Viridiplantae; Streptophyta; Magnoliopsida; Poales; Poaceae. The record is from RNAcentral.
AUGGCAGGAAUGUCGGCAUUUAGAGUGUAUUUCGGUGAAGAUCCGGGUAUAUAUAGUGUUAACGUGAGGGUUAUGUGGAGCCGAUCGGCCAACAAAAUAAGAUGGGAGUUAAAAAAUGUGACACGGAGUAAGGCCUGGCAGGAUUGGCUCGCUGGCUAUAGGAGACGGGGAUAUGAAUAUGUCAUGCUGGUGCAAGCAUGUCAAGGAAGAGUCCCCACGGAGAACGCAGCGGUGCAAUCCAGCAACCGUGAGGAGUUGGGGUCUAGUUCACACGAAGAAGAUGAAGUUGUAGCUCCCCAUCGUGGUGGCGAUGUUGGUCCUGACAUUCAAAAUCUAUCCAUACAAGGAGAUGAAGUGGUCAACCGCCAUCCUACUGGUGAAGCCGAUGAAGGGGAGGACAUACCUGCUAUAGCUGAAGAAAUUGAGAAGGUGGACCGACAUGCAGUCGAAGAUGAGGAAAACCUCGCUGCUGAAGAGAAUGAUGACGAAGAUGAACAAGAAGUUGAGGAACUACCUAUGCCUGCUUCGUGGAACCUUGAAGACCCU